AGUGAAUAGAUACCCAGGUAGUCCUAGCCGUAAACGAUACUCGCUAGGUGUCGGCCACGGUGCGACCGUUGUCGGUGCCGUAGGGAAAGCCGUGAAGCGAGCCACCUGGGAAGUACGGCCGCAAGGCUGAAACUUAAAGGAAUUGGCGGGGGAGCACCACAACGGGUGGAGCUUGCGGUUUAAAUUGGAUUCAACGCCGGAAAUCUUACCGGGACCGACAGCAACAUGAAGGCCAGGCUGAAGACUUUGCCGGAUUAGCUGAGAGGUGGUGCAUGGCCGACGUCAGUUCGUACUGUGAAGCAUCCUGUUAAGUCAGGCAACGAGCGAGACCCACGCCCACAGUUGCCAGCGUACUCUCUGGAGUGACGGGUACACUGUGGGGACCGCCGCUGCUAAAGCGGAGGAAGGAAUGGGCAACGGUAGGUCAGUAUGCCCCGAAUAUCCCGGGCUACACGCGAGCUACAAUGGUUGGUACAAUGGGUAUCUACCCCGAAAGGGGAUGGAAAUCUCCUAAAGCCAAUCUUAGUUCGGAUUGAGGGCUGCAACUCG
RNAcentral lists this ribosomal RNA (549 nucleotides) under uncultured bacterium. RNAcentral's name for it is "bacterial SSU rRNA". It matches the Rfam family "Archaeal small subunit ribosomal RNA", at positions 723 to 1270 of the family's 1478-position model. The record is from RNAcentral.